This 321-nucleotide ribosomal RNA is filed under the name Triticum aestivum (bread wheat). RNAcentral's name for it is "partial small subunit ribosomal RNA". The record is from RNAcentral. Lineage: Eukaryota; Viridiplantae; Streptophyta; Magnoliopsida; Poales; Poaceae.
AUGGCCUGCGCCAGGAACACGGUGGACGACCAGAUCGGCAGGAUCCGGACGGCCGACUUGAGCUGCUCCACCUGGUCCACCGUGCACAGCCUCCUGCCGCCAACGUUGCCAUCACGCUCUGAGGCCGCCGCGCCAGUGCCGGGUAAGUCCACGCCCCCGUUGUUGCUGAUGAUGCAGGCCUUGUUCAGGAACCUGAGCGGAUUCAAAUCAAACAUCGCCAUAUAUGUCACAGAUGAACAAUCAUUGAGUCGAUCAUGCCUUUCACUCUGCACUCACCUCAACCUGUCUGUGGGGACAGUGAGCUUGCAGUCCUUGAGAUGA